GGAAGUGAGAAAUAUCAACAUGUCUGUGUUUGUAGCCAGCAUUGUCAUCCAGAGGAUUUCGAAACUGAACUGAUAGGGUUGCCAUGUCGUCGACUGUUAAAAAGGGAUUCUAUUCAAUCUAUUUUUACCCUUCACUUCAAAGAGGAAGGCAUCCAAUCAGCCAACAUCAGAGCAACAGAAAAUAAGUCAAGCUGAGAGUCAGAUCCCAUCAACAUCAAGCUCAGCACCAGGAAUUAGUGUAAGUCACCUUCUAAAUCUUACUAAAAUCUACUAAGUCUUUCAAUGACUCCAUGAUGAGCAUAUAUAUAUAUACACACACACACUGGAGCUAGGCAUAAACUUGGUCCUUGUCUUGUUGUACAAGUAGGCAAGGACUUCUAUUGUAGUUUUCUCUGUGUUAUGGAGGCUUUGUUGAUUGUUCAUGCAAGGCUUUAAGUCUAAAUUGGAGAAAAGGAGGUAUUGGUAAGGAGGGAAUGGUGUGGGUGAUUGACUGGUGUCUGUUGGGGGUGGAUUUUGUGUGUUAAGGUUACUAUGCGUGAUCAAUUGACAUGAGGGGGGUGGGUAGAUAUAGUACCUCAUUUGAUUGUGUAUUGCAAACUUAAAUCUGUUUUACCUAAUUUCUACCAGCAUGUUACAUGUUCAACCAGUAGAAAAAUAACUCUAAACCACCCUUACUCCACACACAGAGACGCACAUAAAGCUGUCCCUUGCCCUCAAAGGCAAAUCUGACCGUAAUUAUAUCCUCCUGCUUACAAGCAGGAAGUACCAGUGACUCGCUUGAUACGGAAGUGAUCAGAUGACGCGGAUGCUACACUACAGGACUGUUUUACUAGCACAGACUGGAAUAUGUUCUGGGAUGCAUCCAAUGGCAUUGAGGAGUAUAGCACCUCAGUCACCUGCUUCAUCAAUAAGUUCAUCGACAACUUCGUCCCCACAGUGACCGUACGUACAUAUACCAACCAGAAGCCAUGGAUUACAGGCAACAACCGCAACGAGCUAAAGGCUAGAGCUGCUGCAUUCAAGGAGCUGGACACUAAUCCAGAUGCUUAUAAGAAAUCCCGCUAUACCCUUAGACAAACCAUCAAACAGGCAAAGCGUCAAUACAGGACUAAGAUUGAAUCCUACUCCACCGGCUCUGAUGCUCGUCGGAUGUGGCAGGGCUUGCAAACGAAGGUAACCUGGCCAAACGAGUUGCAAUUCAUCAUAUUUGUGACUUGAGUCUGACUAGAGUCCAAACGUCUGGUAACUACAGUCCAAAACUGAACUAAGUAGAUCCAAAUACUUUUUACAUUUUUAUUGUGGACAGCUGGAGAUGACAAGUUCAGGGCCCGGUUUCCCAAAAGCCUCUAAGUUCAUUUUAGAAACAUAUGGUUCUAAGAUUAACUUAACCUCAAGAUGCUUUUGGGAAACCGGGCCCAGGCACAUAAUAAUCUGUCUUUCUGCCUAGGAACUUCAAAAUGUAUGUCUCUUCUGCAGAACAAAUGACAGAACCUGUUUUCUAAAGAGGACCAUUUGUGAAAAAAUGUACAGAAAAUAGUCCAACACAAAGGAUGCAUUGUUGAAAAGGUUUUCAGAAUUUUUAUGCUGCCAAGAUUAUUUUCAUUGCUCAAGUGCUCAGCUCGUUUGAAGUACAUAACUGUUCAUCAAAGGAAAAUGAAAGAGUGUGGUAGAAUGGGGGGAUAAAUAGAUAGAGCAAGUUACUUUCUUUGACAAGCAUCUACCCCCAAUCAGUGGCUGACUGCUGUCAGUCCCAGCUAGGCUCCUGUGGAGAAUCUGUCUUGUCAAUAGCUGUGUGUGGUUCAAUAGCUGUCUGUGGUCCUCUUCGUCUUACACAAAAUGUCCUAUAUGGACGUGAGAGGCGACUGACUGACAUCCCUGCAGUUUGCAGUGACUAGUGUGUUUGUGUUAUGCCUACGUAGGGGUAGGUGUGUGAGAGUGUGUUUGUGUGUUUUUAGGAGAGAGAUUAUUUAUGUGUUGGCUUAAAUGUGUAUUUUGAGUGUGAUGUGUAUGUGAAUUUACAAACAAACAAGUGUCUAGAUCAGGGGUGUCAAACUCAUUCCAUGGAGGGCCGAGUGUCUGCAGGUUUUUUCUUUCAAUUAAGACCUAGACGACCUGGUGAGGGGUUCCUUACUAAUUACUGACCUUAAUUCAUCAAACAAGUACAAGGGUGGAGCACAGACAUUUGGAACACCGUGGAAUGAGUUUGACACGUGUUCUAGAUUUAGAUAAAUCACCCUUCCACUGCAGUAUACAGUUUGCAUGUGAAAUGAAAUGAUGCUAUGUUGAAUCACAUUUUCAUUCACUCUGGCUGACAUGUCAUUUGUCCUCACCAAGCCAGAUUAGACAGCACUCUCGCUUUGCAGCUUGUGCUGCAGUUCAUUGACCUUGGUCUCUAAAAAUAAAGAUGUAUCAAGAAUC
Oncorhynchus tshawytscha (Chinook salmon) is the source of this 2418-nucleotide long non-coding RNA. NCBI's taxonomy places the organism in Eukaryota, Metazoa, Chordata, Actinopteri, Salmoniformes, Salmonidae. The record is from Ensembl.